CCCGAAGUAUCCUGAAUCUUUCGCAUUGUUAAUCAUACAAAUGCAUAUAAUAAACACAAAAAUCAAUGAUAAUUAUGCCAUUAUAUAAUUUCGAAAAAUUAACGCACUGUAUUAAUUUUAAUUUAUCAACACUUUAUCAAAUUAAUGACAUUUAUUCUAUGUUAAAAUGCAAGCAUAAUAAUUUGAAUAAACUAUAAGUCAUAUUUUAUGAUAAAUUUGUUAUAUGCUAAUAGAUUACAAUGUCCUUAUAUGGAAAAAAUGCACACUAUUAUUAUAAUAUUGUUAAAAUAUUACAACUUUAAUGAUGAAUUUUCCAUAACGGAUAUUCAGGUUCAUCGGGC
This 341-nucleotide ribosomal RNA is filed under the name Drosophila pseudoobscura. Its description in RNAcentral is "28S ribosomal RNA, D2 domain". The record is from RNAcentral. Lineage: Eukaryota; Metazoa; Arthropoda; Insecta; Diptera; Drosophilidae.